AACAUUGAGCCUUGAUGUGUAGGAUAGGUGGGAGGCUUUGAAGUGUGGACGCCAGUCUGCAUGGAGCCGACCUUGAAAUACCACCCUUUAAUGUUUGAUGUUCUAACGUGGACCCGUAAUCCGGGUUGCGGACAGUGUCUGGUGGGUAGUUUGACUGGGGCGGUCUCCUCCUAAAGAGUAACGGAGGAGCACGAAGGUUGGCUAAUCCUGGUCGGACAUCAGGAGGUUAGUGCAAUGGCAUAAGCCAGCUUGACUGCGAGCGUGACGGCGCGAGCAGGUGCGAAAGCAGGUCAUAGUGAUCCGGUGGUUCUGAAUGGAAGGGCCAUCGCUCAACGGAUAAAAGGUACUCCGGGGAUAACAGGCUGAUACCGCCCAAGAGUUCAUAUCGACGGCGGUGUUUGGCACCUCGAUGUCGGCUCAUCACAUCCUGGGGCUGAAGUAGGUCCCAAGGGUAUGGCUGUUCGCCAUUUAAAGUGGUACGCGAGCUGGGUUUAGAACGUCGUGAGACAGUUCGGUCCCUAUCUGCCGUGGGCGCUGGAGAACUGAGGGGGGCUGCUCCUAGUACGAGAGGACCGGAGUGGACGCAUCACUGGUGUUCGGGUUGUCAUGCCAAUGGCACUGCCCGGUAGCUAAAUGCGGAAGAGAUAAGUGCUGAAAGCAUCUAAGCACGAAACUUGCCCCGA
Molecule: ribosomal RNA, 683 nt
Filed under: Salmonella enterica
Lineage: Bacteria; Pseudomonadati; Pseudomonadota; Gammaproteobacteria; Enterobacterales; Enterobacteriaceae
Also listed under: 2 other names
Description: partial 23S ribosomal RNA
Rfam family: Bacterial large subunit ribosomal RNA
Source: RNAcentral